GAGCCUGCUGCUGUGCUGCUGCUGCCGUCUCCAACUCCAUGCAAGGCUGAUCUCUUCUCUAGGGCUGGAUGCAGCCCUAACACAGGGACAUGGGUUUUAUAUUUGAUUUUAUAUUCUUGGGGUUGUAUGAACUUAUUGUUUUUAAUGGAUAUAUUCUUUUGAAUCAUAUUUAAUUUCUGUGAUUUUAAGUAUGAUGUUCGUA
This 202-nucleotide long non-coding RNA is filed under the name Phoenix dactylifera (date palm). RNAcentral's name for it is "long non-coding RNA (PDAC_LNC009961)". The record is from RNAcentral. Lineage: Eukaryota; Viridiplantae; Streptophyta; Magnoliopsida; Arecales; Arecaceae.